AUGACAGAAUAUAGGCAAUGAGUACCAAGAUUGGAAUGAUGCAGUGAUUAGCACAGUCCCUAUGGAAGGGUGAUGUGCAAACUUGUGAAGAGUUCCAUAUUUUU
RNAcentral lists this small nuclear RNA (104 nucleotides) under Nannospalax galili (Upper Galilee mountains blind mole rat). The record is from RNAcentral. Lineage: Eukaryota; Metazoa; Chordata; Mammalia; Rodentia; Spalacidae.